This is a long non-coding RNA of Drosophila sulfurigaster albostrigata, 308 nucleotides long. RefSeq lists it as uncharacterized. NCBI's taxonomy places the organism in Eukaryota, Metazoa, Arthropoda, Insecta, Diptera, Drosophilidae. The record is from RefSeq and is a predicted model, not a curated record. The transcript is spliced from 2 exons.
UGGUUAUAAUCCUUGUUCAAUUGUAGUUAGCAUUAAACUAAGUUAGUUGCGUAAGUUUAGCUCUUAAGUCUAAUGACAUCAACUAAUGAGCAAAAAACAAAAAGAAAACAGUACACAGCCACAAAAUAGUCACGGGGAGAUCACAGUAAGCGUAACCGUGUUAUCCAACACAUUUUAGAAGUCCCAAGUCAGACGGCCGGACGUUGCGAGUAAACGAUACCAAACGAGGAUUCCGGCGUGUGACACAAAUAAGCGACACGAGUUCCAAACGGCUAGUUAAUAAGAUUAUAACCUUAUCUUAUUGCCCC